Molecule: ribosomal RNA, 489 nt
Filed under: uncultured bacterium
Lineage: Bacteria
Description: partial 16S ribosomal RNA
Rfam family: Bacterial small subunit ribosomal RNA
Source: RNAcentral
GAUGAACGCUAGCGGCAUGCUUAAUACAUGCAAGUCGUGGGGCAGCAGGACUGUAGCAAUACAGUUGCUGGCGACCGGCAAACGGGUGCGGCACACGUACGCAACUUACCCUGAACUGGGGGAUAGCCCGGGGAAACCCGGAUUAAUACCCCGUAAUAUAGUGGAGUGGCAUCACUUUAUUAUUAAAGCUCCGGCGGUUCGGUAUGGGCGUGGGGCUGGUUAGGUAGUUGGUUGAGGUAACGGCUCACCAAGCCUACGAUCAGUAACUGGUGUGAGAGCAGGACCAGUCACACGGGCACUGAGGCACGGGCUCGAAUGCUACGGGAGGGAGCAGUAAGGAAUACUGGGGGAGGGAGGCAACUCGGACCAAGCCAUGCCGCGUGGAGGAGGAAGGCCAUCGGGGUGGUAAACUUCUUGUAUAGAAGACGAAACCUGUGUAUUCUUACGCAGUUGACGGUACCCGAGGAAUAAGCACCGGCUAACUACGUG